RNAcentral lists this unclassified non-coding RNA (254 nucleotides) under uncultured fungus. Its description in RNAcentral is "partial contains 5.8S ribosomal RNA, internal transcribed spacer 2, and large subunit ribosomal RNA". The stretch from base 1 to 52 matches the Rfam family "5.8S ribosomal RNA", at positions 103 to 154 of the family's 154-position model. The record is from RNAcentral. Lineage: Eukaryota; Fungi.
AACGCACAUUGCGCCCGCCAGUAUUCUGGCGGGCAUGCCUGUUCGAGCGUCAUUUCAACCCCUCAAGCUCCGCUUGGUGUUGGGGUCCCUACGUGCGCCGUAGGCCCCGAAUUCUAGUGGCGGGCUCGCCGCGAUCCCGAGCGUAGUAGUAUUGCCCUCGCUCAGGGUGUCGCGGCGGGUGCCGGCCGUGAAAGAAGACCCAUUUAAAAUACAAGGUUGACCUCGGAUCAGGUAGGAAUACCCGCUGAACUUAA